CUCCGGGCCCCGCAGGGCCGGGAACAGGGCUCCCGGCAAGCCCGGCACCUUACGGCUUACGCGUCCCCUUAAGAAACAAUACCAUCUGGGUUUAUCUGAAACGUGAAGGUUCCGAAGCCUUCGGGCUCGUCGGAAAACUUGGCGUCAAGGAGAGGGAAACAAUUCAGUGCCACUGAAAACUAAACCAAAAAACCAAACCCGUUACCGUUGAGUCGAUUCCGACUCACAGCGACCCUACAGGACAGAGCAGAACUGCCCCAUAGCGUUUCCAAGGAGUGGCUGGUGGAUUCGAACUGCCGACCUCUUGGUUAGCAGCCGAGUUCUUAACCACCACACCACCAUGGGGAAAGGACCCUGGGCUCCACAGGAGAGGGCAGCCCGGAGACUCCCGUGCCCACCUUCCUCACACGCUCCCGGAGCCGACCGACUCACCGAGACCCGCCGGCCGGCCAGCGCAGCACCGCAAGCUGCUGUUAGCUAACACACAGCCGGCGCACGCGCACUGCAGUCUCAGCCCUCGGGGUGCCGUUAACCGCCCAUCCCCGGAGUUUAAAUCAGAAGAGCGAACCGGCUCCCUCUUCCCCGCCCACCUGCCAGUUCAUUGGUUCCGAGGGUGAGAGGCUUCCGUUUCUGCAUUCUGAUUGGUGCAUAUUUUCUCUUGGCUCUCCCCCACGGGCGGGACGAAGCCCGGGAUUUAGGGCGUGGAGUCCGUAAUGUUGUCCUAACCCCGGCGUGCCUGGGCACGUAGCAGGGAGCCGUUAGUGCCUUUCUCCUGAUUUAAGCCUGGCAGCCAGGUUAGGUCACCGAACUUCAGUUAACCGAGGACGCUGGGUUUUUAGAGAGGUAGAGGUUUGAGCUUGACCGCUAGCCUAUAGAGUCGCUGUGAGUCCGAAUCGACUCGGCGGCAAUGAGUUUGGAUUUUAACAGAGCCCUGGUGGCACAGUGGUUAAGAGCUACCUACGGCUGCUAACCAAAAGGUUGGCAGCUCAAUUCCACAAGGCGCUCCUUGGAAACCCUAUAGGCCAGUUCUGCUGUCUUACAGGGUCGCUAUGACUCGGAAUCCACCCCACAGCAGGGGUUGGUUGUUGGAACCCCCCCACCGGUGCCGCAGAAGAAAGCUCUAGCCAUCUGCUUCCCUCAAGAUUACAGCCAAGAAAACCCUAUGAAGCGCUUCUUCUCUGUAACGCAUGGGGUUGCCCAGAGUCAGAACCAACUUGACUUUUUUUGUCGUCGUUGUUGGUCUCUGCCCUCCCAUUGUUGGUGGCUGCAGGGGUCAGGUGGAGCUGGAAAGGGAGGGCUCUCAGAGCCCCGUCGGAAGUCACCUCCAGGAUGGUAGCUCUUCAGACGCUCCCCCUGGGGCCUAAUACAUGCAGGUUCCUUAAGACCCGGAGGCGCAUCCACGCACCCAGCGUGUUCCAUACCAUACAAAGCUCGAUGGUUUGACCCACUGCGGUGACUCCAACCUCAAUUGCUGCCGCUUUAGCCUCUCUCUCUGUGCUCCAGCCCCACGGGCUUCCUUGCUAGAAUGUGCGCUUGCUGGUUUCUUUUGGGAUGCUCUCAACACCCUGCCACUCAGAAGGGCCCAUUGUUUGACUCCAUAUGAUCGUAUUCUUUAAAAAAAAAAAGAUGUUUCUCAUGGCUGAUGUUAUAUAUUUAUUUCUUUGCAUCCCCCCAAAAAACCCAGCUUUGUAUAUGUAUCUGGAAAAAAAGGUGUAUGGCUUUGGGAAUUGCUGAGGACGACAUCUAGGAAGAAGAAAAGGUGAGUGGAAGACACAAAUGGUUAAGGGCUGGGCUACAAACGGAAAGGUUGGCAGUUUUGCCUUGGAAGAAAGGCCUGGCGAUCCGUUUCUGGAGUGCAGUUGUGUUAUCGGACCUCCAGGUCUCCCUUUGCGCGACACUAACGCACAAGUCCACAAAAGUGAAGGAAGAAAAACUGUACUUAGUUGGCCAAACAAAGGAGCUCACCGGGACCUGUCGCCAAGAUGGCUCUCUGAUUGGCAGGGUGUGAGCUCGGAAGGUGCUAACGGUUACUCUGUGAGCUAUACUUCUGCUGGUCCUCUUUUCCACCUGUUAGGUCACAGAAGCACAGAGGCACUUAAAGCUACACAGCAGGUGGGUAGCACACCUGGCCUUCCAUCCUCAUCAUCAGGAUCAUGUGAGGGAUCAUCCCUGGUUGUAACAUGAAUCUGGCUGCAGGAAUAAAUGAUAAAUGGCUGCUGCUCUCUCUCCCCCACAGGUGAACCUGUGUUACUGUUGUCCACCUCUGCAGUCACUGUGAAGUCACCGCGAGGUUAAGGACAGGAGUUUCAUCCUGCAAACUUGGAAUUAGGUGCCAUCAAUGUAAUGACUUUUGUAUCCUUCACUUGUGCCUCUCAGGUUACCCCUAUCCAAUCAGGCCAUUCAUUUCUUCAUCAGAUAUUGAUUGAUCACCUGGUAUGGGCAAGGCGUGAUUCUGGGUGCUGAGGAGAAAGAAGUGGCUACAAUACAUAAAGCUGUUGCCCUCAUGGAGCUUUCAUUCUUGUGACAGAGAGAGAAAAAAUACACAGAAACAAAAAGCUACACAGAUCGGGUUAGAGACAAAUCAAGCAGGAAAGGGAGGUGGGAAGCGUAGUAAGGGGUUUACAUCUGUAACUGUCUGUCAUCUAUCUGGAGUGCCUGGGUGGUGGAAAAAGUUAAGCAUUUGGCUACUAGUCAACAGUUUUGCAGUUUGAAUCUACCCAGAGAUGCCUCAAAAUACAGGCCUGGCAAUCUGCUUCUGAAAGGUCACAGCCUUGAAAACCCUAUGGAGCAGUUCUAUUCUGCACACAUGGGGUCGCCAGGAGUCAGGAUCAAUGGCAACUAACAGCAAUGUCAUCUGUCUGUCUAUCUAUCUGUCUAUCUAUCUGUCUACCUGUCUACCUAUAUCUACCUGUCUAAUCUAUCUAUCUAAUCUAUCUAUCUAUCAUCUAUCUAUUGUCUGUCUAUCAUCUAUCAACUAUCUAUCAUCUGUCUAUCUGUCUAUCGUCUGUCUAUCAUCUAUCAACUGUCUAUCUAUCUAUCUAUCUAUCUAUCUAUCUAUCUAUCUAUCUAUCUAUCUAUCUAUCUAUCUAUCUAUCUAUCUAUCUAUCAUCUAUCUAUCAUCUAUCUAUCGUCUAUCUGUCUGUCUGUCUAUCAUCUAUCAACUAUCUAUCAUGUGUAUGUCUGUCUAUCUAUCUGUCAUCUACCUACCUACCUAUCUAUCAUCUAUCAUCUCUCUAUCAUCUAUCUAUCAUCUCUGUAUCUAUCGGGAGCCCUGGUGGUGUAGUGGUUAAGAGCUUGGCUGCUAACCAAAAAGUCAACAGUUCAAAUCCACCAGCCACUCCUUGGAAACCCUAUAGGGCAGUUCUACUCUGUCCAAUAAGGUCGCUGUGUGUUGGAAUUGACUCCAGUGCAAUAGGUUUGGGGUUUUUUUUGUAUCUAUCUAUCUGUCUAUCUAUCUAAUCUAUCUAACUCUCUCUCAUCUAUCUUAUCUGUCUCAGGAAAAGCCUCACUCAUAAGGUAACCUUAAUAGCUAAAAGAGGGGCAGGAAAGUAUGGCACCAUCUGGAGGAACUGAGGUAAAAGCAGGGGACAUAGACAGAAAACUCAUUUUCCAGCCCUCCCCAACACCCCUCCCAUACACUUUUUCCAGUGACCAAUCCAAAUAUAUCUCCCUCUUUCUCCCCAUAACACCCAAUGUAAGUCUCUCCCUCUAUAAUCAUUUAUGGUUUUUGUCUUCCUUGAAAUAAUAAAUAAAGCUAAGAUUGCCUUCAGCUCUCCCCUUUUUUCUGGGCUGUCCAUGCAUCCCUCAGAGAGAGGGGCUACGCAGGGCAGCCAGACUAUACCCGUAGUAUUGAGCUCUGUUCAUGGUGCCUCACUGAAGGUAGUUCGGUGGAGGUAUGUAGUCCAAUUGGAGGUCAUAAUGAGGGAGUGUCCAACUUGGUUGUGGUACCUGAAAGGGACUGAGUAACUAACAGAUGCUCUGUGACCCCAGCUUUGUUAUAUCUGAAAGGAUGUCAUGUGAAUGUGGAAUUAGACAUGUAGUAUGUGGCCCAAUAAAUAGAGAUACAACCAAAGUGAAGAGGUAGGAUGGAGAGAGAUUCUACGCCAGCAUUAGGAAGUAUUUUAAAAUAGAUCUAAUCAAGUGAAUUGGGGUGUCUUGGUGAGCCACGUUGCAAGUAGCUGGAGUAAAACAAACACAGACGGGAUGUCCCCUCUCCUGGGAACACUGUAGAGUGGAUUCAGGUGGUUUGAUCUGAAAUUUAUGAUUCUAUGAUUCUAGUGGGAUGCCUGAGGGCAGGUGAUGGGAAUAAAUAUAGCUGGAGCCUCCCACAGGGACCUCCUCAGGAAUGGGCUCCAGAAUGUUCCAGUUGCUUCUGCUGGGCAUACUUCUGGUGCUCUUCAUGGAUGAGGGUAAGGCCUGGAGAGGGAGGUGAUGAUGGGUGGUAAGAGAAUGUAUGGGGAAGAUGGAAGGAGUUCCUAAACUUGGUUCCUGGGCCUCCUGCAAAAUGGUUUAAGGAGAAUUUUUCUUCUCUUCACAGGAGACAGAGUGCAGCCAUCAAAAUGUAGGUAUACUUGGUUUGUAGUUUUGGAUAAAUAGUGCCAUAAUGAAAGGAGACAUUAUUGAGUUCUUCACACAUUAUGCCUAUACUCUCCCUGACUACGCCACAUUCUCCUUACUACUUUAGUGUCUUCUUUCUGUUCCAGCCUUUAGGGGGUGGGGGGGGCUUGGCUCCUUGAAAGUCAAAACUGUCACCUACUCAAGGGAGUAGGGACCCAUGACAAAGGCUUGGAGUGCUGUCAGCCUCCUAUUGGGAGCUUUGCAUCAUUCCAGUAGAAAUAUUUACAGUUCUGCUUUAAAGCUUUCCUCUCUUUCUUUAGAUAUUCGAAAUUGCAAUAAGUGUGAAUACUUUGAUGGAUACAAAUGCCAUGGAGGCAUGAAAAUUUGUUGGAAGUUUAAUGUCUUGUUAACUAACAGGAGCUGUUCCACAGAGCACUUUUACUUUAACGAGCGCAGUACAGGAAGAUAUCUGUUUCGUUAUACAAAACUGUCUUGUCGCUCUUGUGAGGAGGGAAUGUACCAGAUAUUCCAUGAUCUGCUGAAAGAAACAUACUGCUGCUCUGAGGAAGACUUCUGUAAUGAAGGCAAAACAAAUAUAGAUUAUAAUAUUCGUUAUGUAGGUGAAUAAAGUAAGAUUUUUAAGCCAUAUGUCCCAGGAAUCUUGGCCUUUCCCUUCCCUCAUGACAACAUGGGAGCCCUGGUGGUACAGUUGUUAAGUGCUUGGCUGGUAACCAAAAAAGUCGGCAGUUCAAAUUCACCAGCCACUCCUUGGAAACCCUACAGGGCAGUUCUACACUGUCCUGUAGGGUCACUAUGAAUUGGAAUGGACUGGAUGGCAACGAGUUUGGCUUGGUGUUUUUGGUAAUGACAACAUCAUUUUACAUUUUCCUAGAACCUUGACCCUGCUCUCUACUACAGUAGC
This is a long non-coding RNA of Loxodonta africana (African savanna elephant), 5479 nucleotides long. RefSeq lists it as uncharacterized. The record is from RefSeq and is a predicted model, not a curated record. The transcript is spliced from 3 exons. Lineage: Eukaryota; Metazoa; Chordata; Mammalia; Proboscidea; Elephantidae.